Harmonia axyridis is the source of this 528-nucleotide long non-coding RNA. RefSeq lists it as uncharacterized. The record is from RefSeq and is a predicted model, not a curated record. The transcript has 2 exons. NCBI's taxonomy places the organism in Eukaryota, Metazoa, Arthropoda, Insecta, Coleoptera, Coccinellidae.
AUUUGGGUGUAUAUAGUUCUGAAGUAAUACCACAAUUGUUUUAUCAUCUAAAUAAGAAGUAUCUGAAUAGUGCGCUAGUUUUUACUACUUAGACUAUUUUUCUGCUAUACUUUAUUUAUGUUUGUGAUGUAUAUACCUAUGUUAUUCUCUGCUAUUCGUGAAAUUAAAACAUCUAGAUUUCAUAUAUGCACAAUACACUUUUCUUCCAUCAUUAUUAAUGACCAAUGUCAGAUCACAUAAAGAUGCUUUUUGAGAAAUAGAUUCUGAUAAGUUUAAUCAAAUGUUUUAGUAUGAUAUAAAUAAUUUUGCUGUUUCAAAGUGAGGAAUCACCUCCUGAAGUUUACUCAUGUAUUCAAAACUUUCAUAACUUUAUAUUAUGUUUUGCAUCUCAAUCUUUUAUCCAAUGUGCAGACUUUGAGAAGAUAGAUAUCAGCCGAGUGGAUAAGGCUGGCCACAUUGAGGAUCAAGAGACAAAAAUAAGUUUUGGUUGAUGUAGGUACUUUGAUUACAUUAAAAAUUUUCAAUAAU